RNAcentral lists this long non-coding RNA (4024 nucleotides) under Malus domestica (apple). RNAcentral's name for it is "long non-coding RNA (MDOM_LNC006076)". Lineage: Eukaryota; Viridiplantae; Streptophyta; Magnoliopsida; Rosales; Rosaceae. The record is from RNAcentral.
CAUAAAACCGCAUGAGUAUCCACAUAGCAUCACCAAACUUCAUAAGGACCAUAACAAGUCCAGAAAACCAUCUUAUGAUCAACGUCACUUAUAAUAUUCAAUUGGUAGUAACCAGAUCUCAAUUCAAUCUUUGAAUCUUCGCAAUUACUUAUGAGCUGGUUAAAUAAACAUCAGUACAUCACCAUGGAUAACAGUUCUCAAUCGUUACCCGACUCCAUUGUCUAUAAUCAAUGAACAGUCUCAAGAUCCAUUUUCUUCCUCACCAACAAACUGGGGCUCCUCAAAAGUGUUGUACUAGGUUGAAUGAAGCUUUUAUCAACCAAUUCUUUCAACUGAAUUUCCAAUUCCCUUAACUCAUCCUAAACCAAUCUUUAACAUAAAUUUAUACCUGACAACAAUUCAAUAAUGAACCUCAUAUCUCUGCCUGAAGACAAUCCAGGUAUACUUUCAAGGAAGACAUCAAGAAAGUCUAACCCCUUUUGACAUUAUUCACACUACUCCAAACAACAUCAUUUAGCACCACAUGAGCUAAUAAUUUUUUUGACAGCCUUUCGAAAACAAUCUCUUUGCUCUCACAGCAAAUAACGGCCUGACUCAAUCCACUUUGCAUACUUACAAAAGUAAUCUCUGGUCAUCCAGAUCGAUGGAAAGUACUGGUUUCCCGUAACAUUCCGUCUUGUCACAAUUAUAACCAACCAAUCUAAUGGAACAGAAUUAACUGACACAAUACAUACUUUAUUAUUACUGAACAUUCUGAAUAAGUACAAUACUAACAUAAAAUAAUCUACCGGGUUGCUUGCUUAACGAAUCCACAAAUGAGUUAUUAAUAUUACGGUCUGCAGCCCGCAAUACUGAUAAAUCAUCGUUGUCUCGAUAAGUAGGCAACCACUCUCAAAGAUAUAACAUUACUAUUUUGUUACUCAAUGCAAAAUACAUACACUCGUCUCAACUACAUUUAUUUACUACUCUCUAGGUAACAACAUACAUAAUAAGAAAUAUAUCAGCCGAAGUCAACUAGAAUGACCAAUACGGCUGAUUCAACUCUUAUCUCAAUAAUACGUCGGCCGGAUCCACUCCGCGUGGUCGGUACGGCCGAACCUAUAACUCACCAAUUUCUCAUGUGUCAGUCGAAUCCAUUUCUCAUGGUCUGUACGGCUGAACAUAUAACUCAUCAAAUCUCUCUGUACUCACGGUCAAUCCGACCAAACUACUAAGUCCAUAACUCUGCUGAAUCGACACUAUGAUAUCAUGGAAAAUUGUUGAGUACAACUGAUUCUAGGGACAAUUCACAAUUCUGCGUCCCCUCUGUUCACAUAAACACAUUCAUUAAUUUCACACUUCCCAAAGUGUUAAUUUUUGUACCUGCUGCACAAGGUACAUUUCCUUUACUCGAGACACCUUGUCUCAAAUAUCUGGAUGGAACGAGGCAAGUCUGAAAACUUUCUAUAAUAUUCAUUUAUCGUCAACUUCCUUGAUUCACAUUUGCAAACUCUUGCUUACUACCAUCGAUAAAUGCCGGAGGGAUAAACUUUUCCUUAAACAAGUCCUUAAAUAAUUCUCAAUCAGCUGUUUCCUCCGGUGACAACAAUUCAUCGAUUCCUUUAGUGAUCAAAUCGAUCUGAUGUGUCUAAGACUUAUCUUGUCUUCCUUUCCAAAUCUUGCUAUUUCUUUUCAUGGUGAAAUUUCCAAAAAUAUAAAAUCAUCUACGUUAUACACUCGAUUAGUGGUAUAUUCAUCUGUUGAUGUCUUUUGUCAUUCCUGGUUACUUUUAGGUUAACUUAAUCACCUGAAUACUUUGAGGAGACUCAUCCAUAGUCUCAGGGUCUACUAAAACUCUUUCUUGAUCGAAUCUUUCUCUACCCAGAAAUAUUCCAUUCACAAGUCAACAAAACACCCCAUGACACACUUCAUGAACCUUAUGGCUUCACUUCGGAAACUGCGCAACCAACAUACUUAAGAAACUUAGCAGUUCCGUAAACCAAUUCUUCUUUCUAUAAAACAAAUAAGUACCGUUACUCAACCCUGGAGUAAAUGUACUAACUUGGUACAUUGAGCAACUAUCGCUUCAAAUUCAAUCAUAACCAUCCUAUGUAUCAUGAAACUUGUACACAUAAUCCAAAGUAAUAUUUUUCCAUUUCCACUGCGAAACAGAAAAUAACCGUCUCAAUCCAAAGGUUUACUUCUUUCUACUUCAAUCUGUUGACCAAUAAAAACGUCAAAUGGUAUACUAGAUCUCAAUACUUUUGGAAUAUUGCAGAAGUUGUACAGUGUACUUCGUCCAAAAUUGCUUGCUUUAAAUCCUCAGCAUUCGGUACAUACUUCUUGUUUUCUUGUAUCCACAUACCAUUUGAUUCACGAAUCAUGUACUCAUUCUUUUUCCCUUCUUUCUCUGCCUUGGUUAAUUCUUAAAUUUCCUCGUCAAACAUUUAAAUUUCGAGUACGACCUUACCAAACAGGCCUAACUUGAAAAUUAACAAGUAUAACUUCUUCUCGAUCUUUCAUUCUUAACUUUACUUUAAUUGAUUUUCAAUCCACGAGAAGAUAAUCUUGGCAAGCGUGCCUGACAUUAAUCUUACUGCAAUCUUUUCACCAAGUGUAUCAGCUACAACAUUUCACGAUCACCCUGAUCGUACAAUCAUAAUCACUAAGUAAUUCAAUCCACCUUUGUUGCCUCAUAUCAAAAUCCUUCCGAGUAAACAAAUAUUGGAGACUCUUUUGAUUUGUAAAAUCUUGCAUUCUUAUCAACAUAUAAUGCCUUCAUAACUUCACAGCAAGAAUGGUAAUCAUGACUUCUAAGUCACCCGUAGGGUAAUUCAUUUCAUGAGGUUCCAUUUAUCGUGAAAUGUAUGCAAUCACCCUAACAUUUGCAUCAACAUGCCUCUAAUACCAUUCAAGAAACAUCACUAAAAAUUUAUGAUUACCACUAUUCUCGGGGAUUACUAAAAUACGUGCAUGAGUGAGGAAAUACUUCAGUUGUUGAAUCCUUUGCUCACAAUUUCCUUCCCACUCAUACAUAACCUCUUUUCUCAACAGUCUCGUCAAUGACAAAGCAAUGACUAAAAACUCUUUCACAACCAUCCAAGAUAGCCUGGUAAGUUAAGAAAUUCCAAAUCUCAAUUACGACUCGUGGUUGUUCCAAAUUCUCAAUUUCUGCUAUCUUUUAAGGAUUCACUUGAAUACCUUAAGAAUAUAUAACAAAUCUCAGAAUGCCACCUGAUUCAUCUAACUUUAGCAUUUGCUACUUAGCAUACAACCAACGUUCUCUCAAUCUUUGCUUCACCGACUUAAUACGUUUACAUGCUCUGCUCUGGCUCAGAAUAUACCAGAAUAUCUUCAAUGAAAAUGAUAUCAAUUUAUCAAGGCAUUAUUGGAAUACUUCAUCCAUCAACUCAUAAAACCGCAUGAGUAUCCACAUAGCAUCACCAAACUUCAUAAGGACCAUAACAAGUCCAGAAAACCAUCUUAUGAUCAACGUCACUUAUAAUAUUCAAUUGGUAGUAACCAGAUCUCAAUUCAAUCUUUGAAUCUUCGCAAUUACUUAUGAGCUGGUUAAAUAAACAUCAGUACAUCACCAUGGAUAACAGUUCUCAAUCGUUACCCGACUCCAUUGUCUAUAAUCAAUGAACAGUCUCAAGAUCCAUUUUCUUCCUCACCAACAAACUGGGGCUCCUCAAAAGUGUUGUACUAGGUUGAAUGAAGCUUUUAUCAACCAAUUCUUUCAACUGAAUUUCCAAUUCCCUUAACUCAUCCUAAACCAAUCUUUAACAUAAAUUUAUACCUGACACAAUUCAAUAAUGAACCUCAUAUCUCUGCCUGAAGACAAUCCAGGUAUACUUUCAAGGAAGACAUCAAGAAAGUCUAACCCCUUUUGACAUUAUUCACACUACUCCAAACAACAUCAUUUAGCACCACAUGAGCUAAUAAUUUUUUUGACAGCCUUUCGAAAACAAUCUCUUUGCUCUCACAGCAUAAAUAACGGCCUGACUCAAUCCACUUUGCAUACUUACAAAAGUAAUCUCUGGUC